This 527-nucleotide ribosomal RNA is filed under the name uncultured archaeon. Its description in RNAcentral is "bacterial SSU rRNA". It matches the Rfam family "Archaeal small subunit ribosomal RNA", at positions 912 to 1434 of the family's 1478-position model. The record is from RNAcentral.
UCAACGCCGGGAAUCUCACCGGAUAAGACAGCGGAAUGAUUGCCGGGCUGAAGACUCUGCAUGACUAGCUGAGAGGAGGUGCAUGGCCGUCGUCAGUUCGUACUGUGAAGCAUCCUGUUUAGUCAGGCAACGAGCGAGACCCACGCCAACAGUUGCCAGCAUGUUCUCCGGAAUGAUGGGGACACUGUUGGGACCGCCUCUGCUAAAGAGGAGGAAGGAAUGGGCAACGGUAGGUCAGCAUGCCCCGAAUUAUCCGGGCUACACGCGGGCUACAAUGGGCAGGACAAUGGGUAUCGACACCGAAAGGUGAAGGUAAUCCCCUAAACCUGUCCUUAGUUCGGAUUGUGGGCUGCAACUCGCCCACAUGAAGCUGGAAUCCGUAGUAAUCGCGUUUCAAAAUAGCGCGGUGAAUCUGUCCCUGCUCCUUGCACACGCCGCCCGUCAAANCCANCCCGAGUGACGGUCUGGAUGACGGCUGCGGUCGUUGCCGCACGUCGAAUCUGGGUUUCGCAAAGGGGGGUUAAGUC